AGAAGUUUCAACAAACAUAUUGGCGGCACCAUCGUCGAAGAACAAAGCCUCGCUAUGCAACGCUGUUAAAUCGCCACCACUUCUUCGAAAGCAAGAGUAUUUCAUAUCAUGCUUUCUCCCUACUCUUUUCUUUGUCCUUGUUUUUACCUGCGGGACAAGGAGAAAGAAAGCAAUCAGACAACAUUUGGUAUCAAUCUUCCGAUCUGGAACCAACUGCUUGGAACCCUUCCCUGAUUGCUUACCUAGCACUGCUCUCAAAGUACCCAUUGUUUCAACAUCUUAUGCUUCUAAAGAAAAUACCACAUCUGCCUGAAUAAUAGAUAAGGCAAAGGAAAAUGAUACAUUGAAGCAUGUAAAGACAAGCACAACAAAACACGAGCCGAUUCAUCCGUUACUUCUUCAAAAUCAAAAGUAUCUCAUAUCAUUAGGGUUGCAAUCACUCUGGGUUUGGUGGACGUGUUUCGACCCUCAAAUUCUUGGGUCGGCCCGCUAGGCGUUGUGAGCUGCACGUGCCGAUUUACCACCCUUGAAUCAAAUCCUUAAAGAUUAAGUCACCAACUGGAAGAAGCGCCCAUCACUCUUGAAGAUCAUACCGUUGACCAAACUGCUCAGGGUUCAUAUGAAAAUGCUGCGAACUUCCUUGAUCUUU
RNAcentral lists this long non-coding RNA (649 nucleotides) under Malus domestica (apple). RNAcentral's name for it is "long non-coding RNA (MDOM_LNC008409)". Lineage: Eukaryota; Viridiplantae; Streptophyta; Magnoliopsida; Rosales; Rosaceae. The record is from RNAcentral.